CGGGAAUAGCUCAGUUGGUAGAGCAUAACCUUGCCAAGGUUGGGGUCGCGAGUUCGAGUCUCGUUUCCCGCUCCA
This 75-nucleotide transfer RNA is filed under the name Acinetobacter baumannii. RNAcentral's name for it is "tRNA-Gly". It matches the Rfam family "tRNA". From Rfam's summary of the family: Transfer RNA (tRNA) molecules are approximately 80 nucleotides in length. Their secondary structure includes four short double-helical elements and three loops (D, anti-codon, and T loops). RNAcentral also lists the same sequence under 1 other name. Lineage: Bacteria; Pseudomonadati; Pseudomonadota; Gammaproteobacteria; Moraxellales; Moraxellaceae. The record is from RNAcentral.